AUGAAAUCCUGGGUUGGCCUUGUGAAAGAAGGCCCCAAUCUCCAGGACUUUUGGCUGGCUCAAUUAGUGAGCAAUGAUGAUUUCCCACUGAUGCCCGAGAGGAGGGCAACCAGUGGCUGUCCCUGUGGGUCUGUCCAGUAUUCACUGCAGCUUGACAGUAGAAGCCCAAAUCCCCAAGAUGUUUGGUGGGUACAACAAAUGGGCAAAGAGAGUUAUACACAGGCGACCCUGAAUAUUGUUCCAGUGGAAGAUUCCCUUGGGACAGCUGGGUGCUCAUCCCAUAUUCCAAAUAGAAGCCAAGAUCUUAAAACUUUUUGGCUAGUCCAACCAGUGGACAAAGAUGGUCUCCCAGAAAGGCCCACAAAGAAGGAUGUAGGUGGCCAAGUGAUGGGGGGAUCUGGGUCCUCACCACACUUUCAAGAAAGGGGCCCUGAUCCCCAGACUCUGUGGGAGGUCCAACAGGUGGGCAAAGACCACUUCCCACGGAAACGCGGGAAGACAGCUCAAGGUGGCCGUCGUUUUGGGACUGGUUGGUAUUCAGCACAGCAUCAAAACAGGGCCAAUGGUCCUCAGACUUCUUGGUUCGUGCAACAAGUAAGCACAGAUGAUGUCCAGAUGCCUGGGAAGAGGGUUCCUGGUCCUACUGGGGACUGCUGGUAUCCACCACAUUUCCAUACAGGGAGCCCUGAUCACCAAGAUAUCUGGCUGGCCCAACCAGUAUACAAUGCCUAUGUCCCAGUGAUACCCAUGAAGAGAAUUCGAAGUGACUGCCCUUUUGGGGCAACUUGGUACUCACCACAAUUUCUACAAAGGGUACUUGAUUUACACAUUCAUGCCCACCAUCACCACUGUGUAGGACAUGCCCACCAUCACCGCUGUGUACGACAUGCCCACCGUCACCGCUGUGUACGACAUGCCCACCGUCACCGCUGUGUAGGUCAUGCCCACCAUCACCGCUGCACAGGACAUCUGUGUCUCCCAACUAGGCUUGAGCAGAAGAGAACCAGCGAUUCUGUCUUUUUUGUGAUAUGUGAUGAGACAAGUCCAGAAUACAUUUAUAUUCCUUGUCAUCCUACCCAUCAGUAA
Molecule: long non-coding RNA, 1086 nt
Filed under: Monodelphis domestica (gray short-tailed opossum)
Lineage: Eukaryota; Metazoa; Chordata; Mammalia; Didelphimorphia; Didelphidae
Description: lncRNA (ENSMODG00000028264.1)
Source: RNAcentral